Molecule: ribosomal RNA, 253 nt
Filed under: uncultured bacterium
Lineage: Bacteria
Description: partial 16S ribosomal RNA
Rfam family: Bacterial small subunit ribosomal RNA
Source: RNAcentral
UACGGAGGAUCCAAGCGUUAUCCGGAUUUAUUGGGUUUAAAGGGUGCGUAGGCGGAUUAUUAAGUCAGUGGUGAAAGCCUGCAGCUUAACUGCAGAACUGCCAUUGAUACUGAUGAUCUUGAGUACAGUUGAGGUGGGCGGAAUGUGUCAUGUAGCGGUGAAAUGCUUAGAUAUGACACAGAACACCGAUUGCGAAGGCAGCUCGCUAAACUGUAACUGACGCUGAGGCACGAAAGCGUGGGGAUCAAACAGG